UGGUUCCUGACUAAAGUCUAUAUGGCCUCUGGAUUGGACUGCGGCCGAUCAGGCUGUUGGUGAGGUAAUGGCCCACCAAACCUGUAACCGGUACGGGCUCUGAGAGGAGGAGCCCGGAGAUGGGCACUGAGACAAGGGCCCAGGCCCUAUGGGGCGCAGCAGGCGCGAAACCUCUGCAAUAGGCGAAAGCCUGACAGGGUUACUCUGAGUGACUUUCGCUAAGAAAGUCUUUUGGCACCUCUAAAAAGGGUGCAGAAUAAGGGGUGGGCAAGUCUGGUGUCAGCCGCCGCGGUAAUACCAGCACCCCGAGUGGUCGGGACGAUUAUUGGGCCUAAAGCAUCCGUAGCCGGUUCUGCAAGUCCCCCGUUAAAUCCAGCUGCUCAACAGAUGGGCCGCGGAGGAUACUACAGAGCUAGGAGGCAGGAGAGGCAAGCGGUACUCAAUGGGUAGGGGUAAAAUCCGUUGAUCCAUUGAAGACCACCAGUGGCGAAGGCGGCUUGCUAGAAUGCGCUCGACGGUGAGGGAUGAAAGCUGGGGGAGCAAACCGGAUUAGAUACCCGGGUAGUCCCAGCCGUAAACGAUGCAGACUCGGUGAUGGGUUGGCUUCGCGCUAACCCAGUGCCGCAGGGAAGCCGUUAAGUCUGCCGCCUGGGUAGUACGGUCGCAAGACUGAAACUUAAAGGAAUUGGCGGGGGAGCACCACAAGGGGUGAAGCCUGCGGUUCAAUUGGAUUCAACGCCGGG
Molecule: ribosomal RNA, 743 nt
Filed under: uncultured archaeon
Lineage: Archaea
Description: bacterial SSU rRNA
Rfam family: Archaeal small subunit ribosomal RNA
Source: RNAcentral